GAUGAACGCUAGCUACAGGCUUAACACAUGCAAGUCGAGGGGAAACGACAUCGAAAGCUUGCUUUUGAUGGGCGUCGACCGGCGCACGGGUGAGUAACGCGUAUCCAACCUGCCCACCACUUGGGGAUAACCUUGCGAAAGUAAGACUAAUACCCAAUGAUAUCCCACGAAGGCAUCCGAAUGGGAUUAAAGAUUUAUCGGUGAUGGAUGGGGAUGCGUCUGAUUAGCUUGUUGGCGGGGUAACGGCCCACCAAGGCUACGAUCAGUAGGGGUUCUGAGAGGAACGGUCCCCCACAUUGGAACUGAGACACGGUCCAAACUCCUACGGGAGGCAGCAGUGAGGAAUAUUGGUCAAUGGGCGAGAGCCUGAACCAGCCAAGUAGCGUGCAGGAUGACGGCCCUAUGGGUUGUAAACUGCUUUUAUAAGGGAAUAAAGUGGGUCACGUGUG
Molecule: ribosomal RNA, 449 nt
Filed under: uncultured bacterium
Lineage: Bacteria
Description: bacterial SSU rRNA
Rfam family: Bacterial small subunit ribosomal RNA
Source: RNAcentral